UUAAUUAAAGAAACAAGCAUAUGCAUCAUCCAUCUCCUUAUCGCGACCAUGUCCUGCAACGGAAAGUAGCUGUCAACUUACGUGCUCUUUCCUUUGAAGUGGUAAAAGGGUUUAAUCUUUUGUUUUAGAUGUGAGAGUGUUGAAUCAGAACUUACUGAUUGCAUGAAGAUUUAAAGGGUUGAAUCAGUAAUUAGUGAUUUCAUUCUCAGGUUUACAUCGUAGUGUCUAACUAGGAAUCUACUGGGAUCAUCUUAAGCGGCAUCGCUGAAUACGGCUGAAUGGCUCAGGCCUUUCGUGGCUCGGCCCAGUUAAUCUGGACAGGGUCCAGUUAUUCAAGGGCCCUAUUAGGUCCACUUCGGAGCACAAGGCCCAUUUUGUGCUUCGAGGCCAGAAAGAAGGCAUCCCAUAUCCGACUCUCUCUCCAUGUACAGGAUCGUCGAAUCCAACACCGGCACGGCGGCGCCGCCGUGCGGCGAGCCAACUCUGGCCAGCAGUCGUCGCCUCGGUCAUCGUCGGCGGGCGGCCGCCGGCAAAUGCUGUCCCCAAGUUCCCAGCGUCUGAGCCGGCCAAGCCGAUGAUGAAGGAGGUAGCAACGAACAAGCCCCACCCCCCCCCCCCCCCCCCCGCCGCUAGGAGCUAGCUCCGCACACGCACCGAGGCGUCGCCCGCCGGAUGCUGCCGGGCGACCCGAGUUCGUCCCUCCUCUGCCGGUUUCGUCUCCCUCGGCGGCCGUCCCAAUUGACGGCGAGUGAAGAAAGGUAAUCCUCACAAGCACAGAACGACUCUUAUCCUCUUCUACGGGCACAAACACGCGGUGUUCAGAUCGUUUCUCCCUCUCGGAUUUGCCUCUUAUUUUGCAAUUUUCACGGACAUUCGGGCUAUGCUACAUCAGCGGUAGAAAUUAUGAGCCGUAAUCUGUACAGCAUUUGAGAUCCUCACUGUAUGGUGCGGCUAUCCUUCCAAAUGGAUCGAUGCCGAUUUUGAUUCCUGGUGAGCACUGGAUCUUGGACUCAUGGAGUGGCACACUGCCUCGAGUAUGCUCAAUCACAUUAGCGAGUUCUUGUUGCACUUCAAUUGGAUAAUCAGAGAUAGAUAUAGAGGGCAGGAUUAGUGGCGAGCUGAUAAAUUGGUUACGAAGAGUGUAAGGUCAUUGUUUAUAUCUGUGCACGUUUUUCUCCAACCCAUCAAUGUACAAUUUAUAGAGGCAAGUUUCUCUGCUGGGCAUCUUGAGAAUUGACAGAAACAUGACAUACAAAUGGAAGAAGACAGUUAUGUUGGAUGAGUUAUCUUUUUCCCCAAAAUUUUGAAAGCUACUCCGUAUUUGCCUGUCAAUAUCCAUUGUAGUAGUUAGCUGAUGAUAUGCUGCGAUCUUCCUAUGUUAGACUUUAGCACCACCAGGCCCCUGUUGGUUUCUCUUUAAAAUAUUUUGACUGAGAUGAAACUGUAUUAUUUUACAUCAAUGCAUUUGUUUCGCUAUUGAAAUACGUAGUAAACCAGAUAAUACUCAGAUAAAUUUGUAAGACUUCUAUUUUAUUUUGUUUUUCAUUUUAAUGAUCAGUUCUAAGCUACACAGAUAAUACUCAGAUAACAACACAAUGUGCAAAUAGUCCAUCUCCAGAAGUUUUGACUCGUCCCGUUUGAACAAGCGAUGCUAUCCUUUGUUCGUAAGUCAUGUGUUUGUUGGUGUACAGGUCAUGUGUAACCAUUUGUGGAUUAUUAAUUCCAUUAUGACCAAUGUUGUUCCACAUGCACAUAGACCUUUUCUUUCCCUUGCUCGUCAAAAUACAUCAUACUAUGAGUUCAUCUUGGAUACUCUGUAGUUUGUACUAAUCAUCUGGAUUUUCUUAGCUUGCAUGACAUUGACUCUUUGUAUGAUAACUAAAUUUAACAUGGGAAGGGAUAUAACAUGAACAGAAGAUUUUGUUGGAGUUUUUUGUCCUAAAAAGUAGUCGUGUGCUUUGAUGAGAAGUAACCUGUGCACUCUUACUGUCGCAACUUGUUGACAUGGGCAAACCAAAACGUGAAUAAAUGUCUGAUAGGUGGAGUCAGGCUAUAGAACUUUACACAAUACGGGGGUGCCAUUUUCCUUACCUUCUUUUCUACAGAGUAGCUAACAGAUCAAAUACCUGGAAUUUCCAUCAAGUAAAAUCGUGUGUGGGACUGACUUCUGAUUGCAAAUGAACUUGCAAAGCAUGUUUUGAGUGUCAUCUUGUGACUUUUUACCACCCCUCUUUGUCAUUGCAGGUAAGCAUUGUGACUUUAAUCAGUGUCAUACCGCGUUAGGUGGGAGGAAAAACUACAUGAUAUUUUAAGACAUGGCAUGACAUAGACCUGAACAUUUUUGUAUUUCUGUAACCAACAUGGUAUGAAAUUGACCAUCCAUCGAAGUGAUAAUCAGAUACGUGAUAGAAAUGAAAUACAUUGACCAGUCAACAUUGGCCGGUCAUUAACUCAUUAUUCUGGUGAUAAGUAUUUACAAGCAACCAUAUCUCUGUGGAAAUUGGUAUAUCCUGUAUUUUGCUCUAUUGCCUCUAAGAGCACUGUGUUAUUGCCUGCAUGUUUUGCCCAGGUUAUGCAACAUCUGCAUAGAAAUCUUGGAUGGUGAUCUGGACUGCUAUUGGAAUUCUCACUGACUUGUUGUCAUUGUGCCAACAUCGAAGACAAGAACAGAUGGCUCAACAACCAUUUUAACUCCAGGUGGGCACUGGAUUUCAGCGUGGUAAACUGCAUUAACCUCACCUACAUUUCUAACUGUUCUAGAUACAGUUGUUGGAUCCCUGAGAUCAGGAACAGCG
This is a non-coding RNA of Oryza sativa Japonica Group (Japanese rice), 2795 nucleotides long. NCBI's taxonomy places the organism in Eukaryota, Viridiplantae, Streptophyta, Magnoliopsida, Poales, Poaceae. The record is from RefSeq and is a predicted model, not a curated record.